CUUUCCAAUCUUUCUCUUCUCCUAGCCCUAAUUUUCUCCACCAUGCUCUUCCUUCAUUCAGCCCUCCUUUCUCAAUCCAACAAUCAUCGACAAUCGUGAUAUCCCGGCAAAGCUUCGGGUACUUGAAUUCGAACCUCCAACAUCAUCUUCACCCAUAGAGUGUCGACAUCUCCAGCUCUCCCAGGCAGCUAUGGCUCUCCUUUAAUUUGGCUCUCCGCUCUCAAUUCCAACAAUCAUCAACGAUCUUGAUAUCAUGGUGAAGCUCCGCCUACUCGAAAUCAAACCUCCAACAUCAUCUUCACCCACUUAGUGUUGAAAAGGACUCGAUGAAAGCUGGAUCAAUUUGCAAAUCCAAAGAGUAAAAAGUCUCUGGUUCCUUACUUCGCCAUGAAGAACCCAGGGCCAAAAAAGCAAAUAGGGAGCCGUUUCGAAGCAAAACACAUCAACUUGCUGAACCAGAGGAUCACCGCAGCUCACAACGAUCAUGGUGAUACUUUACCAUGGCCGUUGUCCACUCCUAUCAUGACCGUUAUUAAGCUGUGUCAGUGUGGAACAAUAGAGAACAACACAAAAAUCAACCUCCACAACGGUCGUUGUGAAUCGUAACAGUCAUGACCAAUCCACACAAUGCUAGGACAGACCGUGCCAGGAUGUGACUUAUGGCCAAGCAACAAAUUUACUCACCACGGCCUCCACAAUGGGCAUGGUGCGGCCAUCGCGGACUUGAUAUUAUAAAUACCCUAGGGUUUUGUGAUCAUGAGGAGGAUUCUUUUGCCGAAUUUAGGAGAGGCGGCCAGAUUUCUGGAGAUCUGUGCAGUUGGAGAUGAUUUACAUCAGUAUUUUAGCGAAUUCCGGUGAUUUUCUCAAGGAAGAUUCAACAUACAUCAAUAGUGGAGAGCGCGUGAAGAGAUUUUGUAUUUUCUUGACGAUCUUGGGAACUUCUCAACCUCAACCGUUGGAGAUCUAUUAGAGGCAGUUCUUUUAGGAAUUCUUUUGCUAUUAUUUUCCUUUGGAUGAUUAUUAUUCAUUGAUCUACACUUGUCUAUCAAUUAGAGGACCCCAAUUCCAGAGGAAUUUCAUGUCAAUUCCCCUUGAUUGUUUCUUGUGAUUCUUUAUUGAUAAUUCCAUAUUUUUUCUAGCCUUUGUGAUUCA
Molecule: long non-coding RNA, 1152 nt
Organism: Dioscorea cayenensis subsp. rotundata (Guinea yam)
Lineage: Eukaryota; Viridiplantae; Streptophyta; Magnoliopsida; Dioscoreales; Dioscoreaceae
Exons: 2
Source: RefSeq, a predicted model, not a curated record